GCUGGGCAUGGUGGCUCAUGCCUGUAAUCCCAGCAAUUUGGGAGGCCGAGGCAGGCGGAUCACCUGAGGUCAGGAGUUUGAGACAAGCCUGGCCAACAUGGUGAAAUCCUGUCUCUA
RNAcentral lists this non-coding RNA (117 nucleotides) under Pan paniscus (pygmy chimpanzee). The record is from Rfam by way of RNAcentral. Lineage: Eukaryota; Metazoa; Chordata; Mammalia; Primates; Hominidae. RNAcentral also lists the same sequence under 1 other name.